RNAcentral lists this transfer RNA (85 nucleotides) under Magnetococcales bacterium. RNAcentral's name for it is "tRNA-Leu". It matches the Rfam family "tRNA". From Rfam's summary of the family: Transfer RNA (tRNA) molecules are approximately 80 nucleotides in length. The record is from RNAcentral. Lineage: Bacteria; Pseudomonadati; Pseudomonadota; Magnetococcia; Magnetococcales.
GCGGAUAUGGUGGAAUUGGUAGACACGCUGUCUUGAGGGGGCAGUGGUUCACGCCGUGCCGGUUCAAAUCCGGCUAUCCGCACCA